RNAcentral lists this ribosomal RNA (324 nucleotides) under uncultured Spongomonas. RNAcentral describes it as "SSU rRNA". The stretch from base 110 to 324 matches the Rfam family "Eukaryotic small subunit ribosomal RNA", at positions 740 to 955 of the family's 1831-position model. The record is from RNAcentral. Lineage: Eukaryota; Cercozoa; Imbricatea; Spongomonadida.
GAUUUCUGACGGAGGCUUGGUGCUCGCUUCCUCACGGAAGUGCGGUGCCGCUGUCUGCGUCAUCCUUCUAGAUGACGCGUGUGCUAGGUUAACUCCUGGUGUGCGCGGCUGUCUAGAUCUUUUACUUUGAAGAAAUUAGAGUGUUCAAAGCAGGCAUACCGCUUUGCAUACAUUAGCAUGGAAUAAUAAUUUAGGACUUCGGUUCUAUUUUGUUGGUUUCUAGGACUGAAGUAAUGAUUGAUAGGGAUAGUUGGGGGUGCUAGUAUUCAGCGGCCAGAGGUGAAAUUCUCGGAUUCGCUGAAGACUAACUUAUGCGAAAGCAUU